CAGAGUUUGAUCCUGGCUCAGAUUGAACGCUGGCGGCAUGCUUUACACAUGCAAGUCGAACGGUAACAGGUCUUCGGAUGCUGACGAGUGGCGAACGGGUGAGUAAUACAUCGGAACGUGCCUAGUAGUGGGGGAUAACUACUCGAAAGAGUAGCUAAUACCGCAUGAGAUCUACGGAUGAAAGCAGGGGACCUUCGGGCCUUGUGCUACUAGAGCGGCUGAUGGCAGAUUAGGUAGUUGGUGGGGUAAAGGCUUACCAAGCCUGCGAUCUGUAGCUGGUCUGAGAGGACGACCAGCCACACUGGGACUGAGACACGGCCCAGACUCCUACGGGAGGCAGCAGUGGGGAAUUUUGGACAAUGGGCGAAAGCCUGAUCCAGCAAUGCCGCGUGCAGGAUGAAGGCCCUCGGGUUGUAAACUGCUUUUGUACGGAACGAAAAGCCUGGGGCUAAUAUCCCCGGGUCAUGACGGUACCGUAAGAAUAAGCACCGGCUAACUACGUGCCAGCAGCCGCGGUAAUACGUAGGGUGCAAGCGUUAAUCGGAAUUACUGGGCGUAAAGCGUGCGCAGGCGGUUUUGUAAGACAGUGGUGAAAUCCCCGGGCUCAACCUGGGAACUGCCAUUGUGACUGCAAAGCUAGAGUGCGGCAGAGGGGGAUGGAAUUCCGCGUGUAGCAGUGAAAUGCGUAGAUAUGCGGAGGAACACCGAUGGCGAAGGCAAUCCCCUGGGCCUGCACUGACGCUCAUGCACGAAAGCGUGGGGAGCAAACAGGAUUAGAUACCCUGGUAGUCCACGCCCUAAACGAUGUCAACUGGUUGUUGGGUCUUAACUGACUCAGUAACGAAGCUAACGCGUGAAGUUGACCGCCUGGGGAGUACGGCCGCAAGGUUGAAACUCAAAGGGAAUUGACGGGGACCCGCACAAGCGGUGGAUGAUGUGGUUUAAUUCGAUGCAACGCGAAAAACCUUACCCACCUUUGACAUG
This 984-nucleotide ribosomal RNA is filed under the name Comamonas testosteroni. RNAcentral's name for it is "bacterial SSU rRNA". It matches the Rfam family "Bacterial small subunit ribosomal RNA", at positions 8 to 988 of the family's 1533-position model. Lineage: Bacteria; Pseudomonadati; Pseudomonadota; Betaproteobacteria; Burkholderiales; Comamonadaceae. The record is from RNAcentral.